Ictidomys tridecemlineatus (thirteen-lined ground squirrel) is the source of this 68-nucleotide non-coding RNA. NCBI's taxonomy places the organism in Eukaryota, Metazoa, Chordata, Mammalia, Rodentia, Sciuridae. The record is from Rfam.
GGAGUCUGUCUCAGUGGUAGAGAGCUUUUCUAGCAUACAUGAGGUCCUGGGUUCAAACCCCAGCUCCA